Molecule: ribosomal RNA, 748 nt
Filed under: Bacillus altitudinis
Lineage: Bacteria; Bacillati; Bacillota; Bacilli; Caryophanales; Bacillaceae
Description: bacterial SSU rRNA
Rfam family: Bacterial small subunit ribosomal RNA
Source: RNAcentral
AGUAACACGUGGGUAACCUGCCUGUAAGACUGGGAUAACUCCGGGAAACCGGAGCUAAUACCGGAUAGUUCCUUGAACCGCAUGGUUCAAGGAUGAAAGACGGUUUCGGCUGUCACUUACAGAUGGACCCGCGGCGCAUUAGCUAGUUGGUGAGGUAACGGCUCACCAAGGCGACGAUGCGUAGCCGACCUGAGAGGGUGAUCGGCCACACUGGGACUGAGACACGGCCCAGACUCCUACGGGAGGCAGCAGUAGGGAAUCUUCCGCAAUGGACGAAAGUCUGACGGAGCAACGCCGCGUGAGUGAUGAAGGUUUUCGGAUCGUAAAGCUCUGUUGUUAGGGAAGAACAAGUGCAAGAGUAACUGCUUGCACCUUGACGGUACCUAACCAGAAAGCCACGGCUAACUACGUGCCAGCAGCCGCGGUAAUACGUAGGUGGCAAGCGUUGUCCGGAAUUAUUGGGCGUAAAGGGCUCGCAGGCGGUUUCUUAAGUCUGAUGUGAAAGCCCCCGGCUCAACCGGGGAGGGUCAUUGGAAACUGGGAAACUUGAGUGCAGAAGAGGAGAGUGGAAUUCCACGUGUAGCGGUGAAAUGCGUAGAGAUGUGGAGGAACACCAGUGGCGAAGGCGACUCUCUGGUCUGUAACUGACGCUGAGGAGCGAAAGCGUGGGGAGCGAACAGGAUUAGAUACCCUGGUAGUCCACGCCGUAAACGAUGAGUGCUAAGUGUUAGGGGGUUUCCGCCCCUUA